CUGCAGAGGAGCACCCCAUGGAAGGUCCGGCUCACCUGACGUUAAACAGCGAAGUAGGGUCCUUACUGUUCUCCGAGGGGGGGGCCGGGAGAGGAGGAGCCGGCGAUGUGCACCAGCCAACGAAAGG
Non-coding RNA from Leptonychotes weddellii (Weddell seal), 127 nucleotides. The record is from RefSeq and is a predicted model, not a curated record. NCBI's taxonomy places the organism in Eukaryota, Metazoa, Chordata, Mammalia, Carnivora, Phocidae.